RNAcentral lists this long non-coding RNA (459 nucleotides) under Manihot esculenta (cassava). Its description in RNAcentral is "long non-coding RNA (MESC_LNC005095)". The record is from RNAcentral. Lineage: Eukaryota; Viridiplantae; Streptophyta; Magnoliopsida; Malpighiales; Euphorbiaceae.
ACAUCCCUAAAAUUACUCUAGCAAAUUUCCAAAAUUAUGCUUAAUAACUAAAUAGGAAUACAUGAAAUAUAAACAUAGACAUUCCAGAACUCUCCCUCUUAACUUGGAGUAUAGAAUCUCAUCAAUUCCGACAUUUCCCCUUGAUGAUAUUAUUAUUGGAGCCAAUAACUCUUGCGUAACACUAUUUGAGAAAUUGUGAACUGAAGAAUUUUGGGAAAAUUUUGAGUAUUUUUGUAUUUCACUCUUGAUCUUUACAAUUGGUCUACAUGACUAUUUAUACACAGAGAAUCAUAUCUAAACAGGAAGUAAAUAAUCAAAUAAUAAUUACAGAGAUAAUUAAGGAUCCUAAUUAGAUCAAAUCAAAUCUCUAGAAUCAGUUAGGAUUAGUUAAAUAAGUCAACAUGAACUAUAAGACAGACAACUAAAUUUCACUCCUCUUCCCUGAACUAAGGUAUUGCA